Stegodyphus mimosarum is the source of this 73-nucleotide non-coding RNA. NCBI's taxonomy places the organism in Eukaryota, Metazoa, Arthropoda, Arachnida, Araneae, Eresidae. The record is from Rfam.
GCCUUCGUGGUGUAAUGGUCAGCACACUGAGCCGGUAUUUCAGAGGUCCGCGGUUCGAUUCCCGUCGAAGGCG